UGUUUUUGGUAAGCAUUCUCCAUGGGUAGGGUGUUGUGGCAGAUGCCUGAGGAGUAAAAGUUAUGAAGGAACCUAGAGUCUAGUUAGGAAGAUAAGACACUAACAGGUGAACAAGGAGACAGCAAUAAAACACUUCGGAAUUAUAUGAUGUGGAUACUCAAUGCUCCAGAAAUUUAGAAAAGGAAGAAGUCCAAGUUCACUACAGUCCCUGAAGAGCAAGGGAAGGUGCAAAGUGGAUUGCAAGGAUUGAUUGACAGCCCUCAAGCCAAGGAUUCUACAAGAGCUGGCUGGGUCAAGAUUCUAAGGGGGCUGGAGCAGCUCUCAACUGUCUGUCUGAAGCUGGAUCUCCACACUGAAGCUGUGACUCAGCUCCCUGAGAAAACACCUUUCAAGCUGCCUGCCUUAGAAUAACAUCAAGACAAGGUUGAGAGGAAGUUCCCUAUUCAUUCUGGUGGACAGUGAUUUGGGGAGAGAAUUUCUCUCUUUCCUGGAUCUUCUAAGGACUUUACAACUGGAUGUCUGCAGUCUGACCCACCAAGGACUCUGUGUGAGAAUCUGGGCUCCCUGUUUGGACUUCUUCUGUGUUAACUUUAGUUUAGUUUAGUUUAGUUUAGACAGGCUAAACUUAGAAUAGGAACUUAUUGGGUUAAGUAUCUGGGUGGGUGAUAGUCAGAUGAUCAACCUUCCCCUUUCCUUCCCCAUCCUUCCCUUCCUUUAUUAAUAAACUUAUUUAAAUAGUUGUGUGUUUUCCCUUUCCUACAGCCUCCCCCCUCCUCCCUCAAAUUCUCUAUAGCACUGUCUCUAUGUAGCUGAACUUUUUCUUUUGGGGGAAUAUGAGGGUGGAGAUCUGAGGAAAGGUGGUUGAAAUAUUCCAUUGAACAGCACAAUUCCUACUUGUUUGCUCCCCAAAGUGGGGUGGAACAAAGGAUAUAGCAAGUAGCUCUUCCCUGUCCUUUUUUCUCUCCAGAGAUGGCAUUGAAGGGAAAUUGAAGGAAAUGAGGAGGAACAGACAUAGGCUAAUCUUAAAUAAAUUGGAAAUAAUGGGUCUAAUUUUCCCUUUUGAUUUCUCUAACCAGUGCCUAAACCUGUAAGAUUUAGGGUAUUCAGUCUCCCUGAGAUUACUCUGGUGAGAGAACAAUGAAAACAUCCAUUAUUUAGGACUCCAUUUGUAAUUCUAUUGUGAGCACAAUAUCUGGAUUACAAGUGUCAGGACAUGUGAAAAUAUUGACUGAGGCACUAUGUGCUGGGAGCUGUAGCUUUGUAAAUUUAAAGUUAGGAAAUCCAAAUACAGUAUCACUUAUUGACAGGCAAUAAAGACCCCAAAGAAAGCAUCCACACAAAGAGUUAAAAGUUCAGAAUAGAAGGGAUAAUGGGACACUAAUUAAGAUUGUUCUUCACAGCUGGAAAUUAGCCACUGUUCAACUACCAAAGCCUCUCAGGACUGAAUGCUCUGUUCUAGAAGCAGUUAGGCAGCAAAAUGGAUAGAGCCCUAGACCUGGAGUGAGGAAAACCCAGAUUCGAAUCUAGCUUCAGAUACUUAGGAGCUAUGUGACCCUGUGUAAGUCACUUUAACCACAAAAUGGAGAUAAUAACAUCUUCCUUCCAGGAUUAUUGUGAAUAUUAUCUGAGAUAAUAUUUAUAAAGCACCUGGCACACAAUACUUACGGGAAGCUCUUUGUCUUAUGGGGGUAUUGUUGGCUUUUAAUUUUUAACCUCAGCAGUGGCAGCAAUAGACUUCAAAUGGAGUGGGGAAAGCAGCCUGCUCAUCAAGAAGGGUAAGUAGUUCAUUGUUUUUUCAUUAAGGCCUAAAAUUACUGAUCAGAGCAGGUGCGAUAUUAUCAUUUAAUUUGUCUCUAUUCAAUUUUUUAGGCUGCAAGGGCUCUCCUGAGCCUCAGGGGGCACUAGCAAAAACCUGCUCCAGGCACCAAUCAUCUCAAUGACUUGCAAAAUCCAAUGGAACUAGCAAGCAACUGACCUACCAUAACUGAAGCAUUCCCCACAAUGAGCUCACUGGGGAGACUUCCACCAGGAAGUGACUCUUUGUACUGUGAUGCCAUCUAAGUAUGGACUCCUUUGCAGGAAGGAACUGUCAAAGCAGCAAAAUCAAGCUGUUUCUCUCUGCCCAGGGAAGUUUAUAGAUAGAAACAAGGUACAAAUGCGCAUCCUCCAUCUUCUGGAAAUUAUUGUUACUGUUGGGUCUUUUCUCUCAUGCCUGACCCUUUGUGAGCCCAUUUGGGGCUUUCUUGGCAAAGAUACUGGAGUGGUUUGCCAUUCCUUCUCCAGUUCAUUUUACAGAUGAGGAAACCAAGGCAAAUGGGGUUAAGUGUCUUGCCCAGAGACACAUAGCUGGUGAGUCACUGAGAUCAGAUUUGAACUCAGGAAGAUGAUCCCUCCUGACUUCCUGAGAAGAGCCUUGGCUCUCUAUCUACUGUACAACCUAGCUGUAUCUCCUCUGUAAAUUACAGUUAGUUAAAAAAUCUGCCAAACUUAGUCAGAACAUGGCAGCCAUGUCGUCAGCCCUCUUUGGCAACAUCCACCCAUUUUGAAUAGGGCAGGAAGCAACUUCCUCCAUCUUCAUCCAGGGAAGAAAGUAACUCAUUGCUUCUCUAUAUAAUGGCAUAAAGGCACAGAGCAGAGUAUGUACAGAUCUCAGUGCCAGAUAAGUUCUACCAUCUAUCUUCUCUGUCUACUCAUGUGCCUCUGAACCACACUACACUGACUAGAUCCACUACAAAUUCAUCUUAUC
Non-coding RNA from Monodelphis domestica (gray short-tailed opossum), 2746 nucleotides. NCBI's taxonomy places the organism in Eukaryota, Metazoa, Chordata, Mammalia, Didelphimorphia, Didelphidae. The record is from RefSeq and is a predicted model, not a curated record.